Molecule: unclassified non-coding RNA, 384 nt
Filed under: uncultured fungus
Lineage: Eukaryota; Fungi
Description: partial contains small subunit ribosomal RNA, internal transcribed spacer 1, and 5.8S ribosomal RNA
Rfam family: Eukaryotic small subunit ribosomal RNA (bases 1-73)
Source: RNAcentral
UCAAACUUGGUCAUUUAGAGGAAGUAAAAGUCGUAACAAGGUUUCCGUAGGUGAACCUGCGGAAGGAUCAUUACAGAUAGAUAGAUGUUGAAGAAGUCAGGUUCAGAGGCUGCUGCUGCUACUACUACUGGUGCUGCUAGUUAGUCUCUAGCCUACUUCUAAACACUACCUUCAAUCCCCCCCUUCAUUUGUGAACUUUGACACAGGUUACUGUAAGUGCCCCUAUUCAAAAGAUAGGGGCACUGAACACUUGUGCUCUUUUUUCCCACACUAUCUACCUUACGCAUGGUCUAUUGAAUGUUGUUGUUGGGUUCAUAAUUGGAAAAUAUAUAUAUAACUUUCAGCAACGGAUCUCUUGGCUCUCGCAUCGAUGAAGAACGCAGC